This is a long non-coding RNA of Hibiscus syriacus, 987 nucleotides long. RefSeq lists it as uncharacterized. NCBI's taxonomy places the organism in Eukaryota, Viridiplantae, Streptophyta, Magnoliopsida, Malvales, Malvaceae. The record is from RefSeq and is a predicted model, not a curated record. The transcript is spliced from 3 exons.
AAGAGGCCCUGAUUCAACAGCAUUUGCAGGCACAUCAUCUCAGUUUAUAUUCCCCUCCCACUUCCUUUUUUUCCACUCAUCACCAUUUUCCCAUAUAUUCCUCAUGGUAGAUCUCCUUGUUGUGAGAAAGAACACACCAACAAAGGUGCAUGGACAAGGGAAGAAGACGAACGCCUCAUUAAACUACAUCAAACUUAUGGUGAAGGCUGUUGGAGAUCUCUCCCCAAAGCUGCUGGUUUGCUUCGGUGUGGAAGAGUUGUAGGCUUAGAUGGAUAAACUACCUGAGGCCUGAUCAAGAGAGGAAACUUCACUGAAGAAGAAGAUGAAGUCUCAUCAAUCUUCACAGCUUACUUGGAAACAAAUGGUCUUUGAUUGCUGCAAGGUUGCGGGAAGAAACGGACAAUGAGAUCAAGAACUACUGGAACACUCAUAUCAAAAGAAAGCUGUACAGCCGAGGGAUCGAUCCUCAAACCCACAGUCCACUCGGUUCGGUUUCCAGCACGAACAAAACAAGUACACAACAGCAAUAACUGUAGUAACAGUAUCAGCAGCAGCAACGUUAAUCGAUUCCAUACAAACGAACAGUCGUGAUGCCAUUGAUGCAAGUGCCUGCCAACAUAGAUAAUGGAGGCGCAGACUCAGCUGAAGAUUCUAACGGAAGCAGCAGCAGUGGAUUAAGUCGUGAAGAAGUUUUCCCACAAAUCAAUCUCGAACUCUCUAUCGGACUUCCGUUUCCCUUCCAGCAGUCUCGAGUUUCAUCUCAUGUCGACUUAAAUCAGUCGCAGCAGCAGCAGCAACGAGUUUCCUAGUUGUUUCAAUCGACAACGCCGGAUGUGCUUAUGUCACAGAUUAGGGUUCCGGAAAAGCCAAGCGUGUAGCUGCAGUGCCAGUGUCAUCACAACGCUGUAGCAUGCAGCUGAUUUUCUCAGGCAGAAAUUAGUAUUGAGGUGAGUAUAUUACCAACAGGAAUGUUCUAUUAAGUUUUAA